RNAcentral lists this ribosomal RNA (170 nucleotides) under Raphanus sativus var. sativus. Its description in RNAcentral is "5.8S ribosomal RNA". It matches the Rfam family "5.8S ribosomal RNA". Rfam says of the family: 5.8S ribosomal RNA (5.8S rRNA) is a component of the large subunit of the eukaryotic ribosome. Lineage: Eukaryota; Viridiplantae; Streptophyta; Magnoliopsida; Brassicales; Brassicaceae. The record is from RNAcentral. RNAcentral also lists the same sequence under 2 other names.
AAGUCUAUAACGACUCUCGGCAACGGAUAUCUCGGCUCUCGCAUCGAUGAAGAACGUAGCGAAAUGCGAUACUUGGUGUGAAUUGCAGAAUCCCGUGAACCAUCGAGUCUUUGAACGCAAGUUGCGCCCCAAGCCUUCUGGCCGAGGGCACGUCUGCCUGGGUGUCACAA